Mycena maculata is the source of this 97-nucleotide non-coding RNA. NCBI's taxonomy places the organism in Eukaryota, Fungi, Basidiomycota, Agaricomycetes, Agaricales, Mycenaceae. The record is from the annotation of a GenBank genome assembly.
GCCCGCCUAGCUCAAUCGGAUAGAGCGCAAGACUUUUAAGAAGGCGGGUUUCUUCAAGUAAAUCUUGAGGCUGCGAGUUCGACCCUCGCGGUGGGCU